GAAGAUAUGGAACAUGAACAAAUACACAGGGGUCCUAGGAGUCUACAAUUGCCAAGGGGCAGCUUGGAACCGCGUUGAAAGGAAGAACACAUUCCACCAAACGAAAUAUGAGGCUAUAACAGGAGCCAUAAGGAGCCGCGAUGUCCACCUCAUUGCUGAAGCAGCCACUGAUUCCAGCUGGAACGGUGACUCUGUUAUUUAUGGCCAUAGAACCGGAGAACUUACUACUCUUCCUUACAAUGUAUCAAUGCCGGUGUCACUCAAAGUUCUUGAGCAUGACAUGUUCACUGUAACACCCAUCAAGGUUUUAGCACUCGGAUUCAGCUUUGCACCCUUUGGGCUCAUAGACAUGUACAAUGCUGGUGGAGCCAUUGAGAGGCUUAAAUAUGAAGUGAAAGGAGGUGCGAAACUAUCAGAGUUUGAGGAAGGAUAUAAGGGUGAAAACAGUGGCGUAAGUGAUGAGAGAGUAGAAAAUUGCAACAGUGAAUUGGUUGGGGAAGUGUACAUGGAGGUUAAAGGGUGUGGCAGGUUUGGUGCUUAUUCGGCAACUAAACCAAAGAAGUGCAUUGUGGACUCAAACUUGGUUGAUUUUAUGUAUGAUUCAUCUGCUGGUUUGUUUACUUUUUGCUUGGAUAGCUUGCCUGAUGAAGGUAAACUUCAUGUCGUUAAGGUUGAGCUGUAGAUUAAUAUUGGUUUGGCUUCAUUCUUUUUAGCUUAGAUAGCUUGCCUGAUGAAGCUGGUAAACCUCAUGUUGUUGAGGUAUGAGUUGUAGUUUAUUAUGUAUUGGAUAGAUGCUAGGGAAUUCAGGAAUCAUUUUUCCCUUCAAUUUUCUUCCUUCUUUCAGGUCCAGGAGUUCAUAGAGUGAUGUAAUUUAUAGUUGGAAGGGAAUAACUGUAAACUAUCUGAACAUCAUCAACAUUCAUUUCAUGAUACUCUAAGCAUUAAGCUGCUAAAUUUCAAUUGUCUUCUAAAAAUUCUCAACUUUGAUUUUUAG
This 994-nucleotide unclassified non-coding RNA is filed under the name Hevea brasiliensis (rubber tree). The record is from RNAcentral. Lineage: Eukaryota; Viridiplantae; Streptophyta; Magnoliopsida; Malpighiales; Euphorbiaceae.